RNAcentral lists this ribosomal RNA (389 nucleotides) under uncultured bacterium. RNAcentral describes it as "bacterial SSU rRNA". It matches the Rfam family "Bacterial small subunit ribosomal RNA", at positions 995 to 1382 of the family's 1533-position model. The record is from RNAcentral.
AGGGCCUUCCAGUACGGUUUUCCGUAUGGCGGAAGUCGAGGUGCUGCAUGGCUGUCGUCAGCUCGUGCCGUGACGGUGUUCGGUUAAGUCCGGUUAACGAGCGCAACCCCUGCCCUUAGUUACCAGCGGGUAAUGCCGGGAACUCUAAGGGGACUGCCUUGGUUAACGAGGAGGAAGGUGGGGACGACGUCAAGUCAUCACGGCCUUUAUGUCCAGGGCCACACACGUGCUACAAUGGCCGGCACAAAGGGUUGCCAACCCGCGAGGGGGAGCCAAUCCCAAAAAUCCGGACCUCAGUUCGGAUUGCAGUCUGCAACUCGACUGCAUGAAGUCGGAAUCGCUAGUAAUCGCGAAUCAGCAGGUCCGCGGUGAAUACGUUCCCGGGCCUU